Molecule: ribosomal RNA, 460 nt
Filed under: uncultured bacterium
Lineage: Bacteria
Description: partial 16S ribosomal RNA
Rfam family: Bacterial small subunit ribosomal RNA
Source: RNAcentral
CCUACGGGUGGCAGCAGUGAGGAAUAUUGGUCAAUGGACGAGAGUCUGAACCAGCCAAGUAGCGUGAAGGAUGACUGCCCUAUGGGUUGUAAACUUCUUUUAUAAAGGAAUAAAACGAGGCACGUGUGCCUUUUUGCAUGUACUUUAUGAAUAAGGAUCGGCUAACUCCGUGCCAGCAGCCGCGGUAAUACGGAGGAUCCGAGCGUUAUCCGGAUUUAUUGGGUUUAAAGGGAGCGUAGAUGGGUUGUUAAGUCAGUUGUGAAAUUUUGCGGCUCAACCGUAAAAUUGCAAUUGAUACUGGCAGUCUUGAGGACAGUUGAGGUAGGCGGAAUUCGUGGUGUAGCGGUGAAAUGCUUAGAUAUCACGAAAAACCCCGAUUGCGAAGGCAGCUUACUAAACUGUGACUGACAUUGAUGCUCGAAAGUGUGGGUAUCAAACAGGAUUAGAUACCCGUGUAGUC